GACGAACGCUGGCGGCGUGCCUAAUACAUGCAAGUCGAACGCAGCGGGGACGGGUGCGUAACACGUUGGUAACCUCCCAUCAGAGGGGAUAACACUUGGAAACAGGUGCUAAACCGAUACUGAUGGAUGGACCCGCGGUGCAUUAGCUAGUUGGUGAGGUAACGGCUCACCAAGGCCGCGAUGCAUAGACGGCCAGAGAGGGUUAUCGGCCACACUGGGACUGAGACGCGGCCAAGACUCCUACGGGAGGCAGGAGAAGGAAAUCUUCGACAAUGAACGAAAGUCUCGCCGAGCAAAGCCGCGUGAGUGAAGAAGGUUUUCGGAUAGUAAACCUCUGUUGUGAGAGAAGCGGUAUCUAAACAGAAUGCCACAGCUAACUACAUGCAAGCAGCCGCGGUAAUUC
This 403-nucleotide ribosomal RNA is filed under the name uncultured bacterium. RNAcentral describes it as "partial 16S ribosomal RNA". It matches the Rfam family "Bacterial small subunit ribosomal RNA", at positions 28 to 526 of the family's 1533-position model. The record is from RNAcentral.